GCAGUGGUGGUUCAGUGGUAGACUUAUCACCUUACAUGUGGGAGACGUGGGUUCUAGUCACAGCCAAUGCA
RNAcentral lists this transfer RNA (71 nucleotides) under Loxodonta africana (African savanna elephant). It matches the Rfam family "tRNA". Rfam says of the family: Transfer RNA (tRNA) molecules are approximately 80 nucleotides in length. The record is from Rfam by way of RNAcentral. Lineage: Eukaryota; Metazoa; Chordata; Mammalia; Proboscidea; Elephantidae.